RNAcentral lists this ribosomal RNA (234 nucleotides) under uncultured bacterium. Its description in RNAcentral is "partial 16S ribosomal RNA". It matches the Rfam family "Bacterial small subunit ribosomal RNA", at positions 102 to 334 of the family's 1533-position model. The record is from RNAcentral.
CACGGGUGAGUAACGCGUAUACAAUUUACCUUAUACUGGAGAAUAGCCUUUAGAAAUGAAGAUUAAUACUCCAUAGUAUUAUGAUAUGGCAUCAUAUUAUAAUUAAAGAUUUAUUGGUAUAAGAUGAGUAUGCGUCCUAUUAGUUAGUUGGUAAGGUAAUGGCUUACCAAGACAUCGAUAGGUAGGGGUCCUGAGAGGGAGACCCCCCACCACUGGUACUGAGACACGGACCAG